CAUCUGAUGCCAGAACCAAGAGAUCCGUUGUUGAGAAGUUAGUAAUAUUUAAUAUUAA
Molecule: ribosomal RNA, 58 nt
Filed under: uncultured fungus
Lineage: Eukaryota; Fungi
Description: partial 18S ribosomal RNA
Source: RNAcentral